RNAcentral lists this ribosomal RNA (473 nucleotides) under uncultured Glomus. Its description in RNAcentral is "SSU rRNA". It matches the Rfam family "Eukaryotic small subunit ribosomal RNA", at positions 569 to 1047 of the family's 1831-position model. Lineage: Eukaryota; Fungi; Glomeromycota; Glomeromycetes; Glomerales; Glomeraceae. The record is from RNAcentral.
AGCAGCCGCGGUAAUUCCAGCUCCAAUAGCGUAUAUUAAAGUUGUUGCAGUUAAAAAGCUCGUAGUUGAAUUUCGGGGUCAAUAAGUUGGUCAUGCCAAUGGUAUGUACUGGCUUUAUUGAUUCCUACCUCUUGACGAACUGUGAUGCCAUUAAUUUGGUGUUGCAAGGAAUCAGGACUGUUACCUUGAAAAAUUAGAGUGUUUAAAGCAAGCUUACGCUUGAAUACAUUAGCAUGGAAUAAUGAAAUAGGACGUUUGAUCCUAUUUUGUUGGUUUCUAGGAUCGACGUAAUGAUUAAUAGGGAUAGUUGGGGGCAUUAGUAUUCAAUUGUCAGAGGUGAAAUUCUUGGAUUUAUUGAAGACUAACUACUGCGAAAGCAUUUGCCAAGGAUGUUUUCAUUAAUCAAGAACGAAAGUUAGGGGAUCGAAGACGAUCAGAUACCGUCGUAGUCUUAACCAUAAACUAUGCCGACU